CUAACAAGGUUUCCGUAGGUGAACCUGCGGAAGGAUCAUU
Molecule: ribosomal RNA, 40 nt
Filed under: Parastagonospora nodorum
Lineage: Eukaryota; Fungi; Ascomycota; Dothideomycetes; Pleosporales; Phaeosphaeriaceae
Description: partial 18S ribosomal RNA
Source: RNAcentral